CACCGCGGUUAUACGAAAGACCCUAGUUGAUAAACACGGCGUAAAGGGUGGUUAAGGAAAACAAAUAAUAAAGCUAAAGACCCUCUAAGCCGUCAUACGCAUUCCGAGAGCACGAAACCCAAACACGAAAGUAGCUUUAAGUGUUAUUACCUGACCCCACGAAAGCUAAGGAA
This 173-nucleotide ribosomal RNA is filed under the name Tachysurus ichikawai (neko-gigi). Its description in RNAcentral is "partial 12S rRNA". The record is from RNAcentral. Lineage: Eukaryota; Metazoa; Chordata; Actinopteri; Siluriformes; Bagridae.